This 278-nucleotide ribosomal RNA is filed under the name uncultured Desulfocapsa sp. RNAcentral's name for it is "partial 16S ribosomal RNA". It matches the Rfam family "Bacterial small subunit ribosomal RNA", at positions 1106 to 1380 of the family's 1533-position model. The record is from RNAcentral. Lineage: Bacteria; Pseudomonadati; Thermodesulfobacteriota; Desulfobulbia; Desulfobulbales; Desulfocapsaceae.
UAUCUUUAGUUGCCAUCAUUGAGUUGGGCACUCUAAAGAGACUGCCGGUGUCAAACCGGAGAAGGUGGGGAUGACGUCAAGUCCUCAUGGCCUUUAUGACCAGGGCUACACACGUACUACAAUGGCCGGUACAAAGGGCAGCGACACAGCGAUGUGAAGCGAAAUCCCGAAAAGCCGGUCUCAGUCCGGAUUGGAGUCUGCAACUCGACUCCAUGAAGUUGGAAUCGCUAGUAAUCGCGGAUCAGCACGCCGCGGUGAAUAACGUUCCCGGGCCCGUU